CCGCUCACUAAGCGUCGCUACACAGACAGUAACAGAAAACUCCGAAGAGAGCAGGAGCCGCCGAGAGCUCCUUCAGGGCCCCACGAAAUAGUUUUUUUUUUUUUUCAUUAAAUUACAUUUUCACGGCGAACCGUGUGACGGAUAUAAUAUCUGUGCGUGACUCUAUCUACACGAUCAAGAUGAGAUUUACCAUUCUUUCGCUGACGGCUGCGCUCUGCCUCGCAUUAGUGAGCUCGCAUCCGCUUCCGGAAGACGGACUCCGAUCAGAGGCCCUCGAUCGGCUGGUGAUGGCCGAAGCCGACAGCGAGGCGGCCCUGAGGAGCAAAAGGACGAUCGGCAUUCUACGACAGCUCUUCCCCGAUAUUUCUCAGAGAAUCGAAGCGAAAGUCAACUCUAUUAUCGCGGAAGUCAUUCGCGUCCUUGGUCCGGUCAUCCUUCGCAAUGUUCUUGGCGGCGGCGGCAAUACCCAAGGUGUCCAGAGGGAUGAGGACGGCACAAGCGUUGAGGGCAAGUCGCCCUUCGACGAUGAUGACGAGGAUAAUGCCGAGUCGACGUCAACAAUCGGUUUAAACGGUUCCAAAGUGUCGAUCUCUUUACCGACGUUUCCGCCAGAUGACGUGGAAACCUCUUCUUCCACCACUUCGUCCUCAAUAACGACGAUAGAGAGCAGAGACAACUUUAAUGCUACGACAACCACUAUAGCGACACCAACGACAACACCGUCACUGACGGAAAACGAGGUCACCACUUCGCAGUGACUGUUUGACCAGCAGCUCGGUAAAAGUUUCGAGGACGUGAACCCGGAAUCGGAGAAUCGAGUGAACGAGAUCGGAUCGGAAUCGCAGAACAACGAAGUGCGGGUGCAAUUCGCGGACGAGGUGUCGAACGACAAUUCGCCGCAGGAGCUGACGCCAUUGGACGAAGUUGAGACGAACGAGGACGAGAACAGAAACAAGAGAUUCCUCUUUGGUUUAGGCGGCGGUGCCGGCGGCGGUGCUGGAUCGGGCAACUUCAUCUUCGACAUUAUCAGGCUGGUGGCCGGAAGCGGAAGCGGAGGGAGUGGUUCCGGUGGUACCACCGAGCACGGAAAGGCGGACGAAACGCAAGAGGCCGUACCCGGUCCAGUCACCAGGUUCUUCGUCAUCGCGAAUCGAGGACUCUCGAAUCUCGUCCAGGAUCUCAUACUC
Pogonomyrmex barbatus (red harvester ant) is the source of this 1187-nucleotide unclassified non-coding RNA. The record is from RefSeq and is a predicted model, not a curated record. Lineage: Eukaryota; Metazoa; Arthropoda; Insecta; Hymenoptera; Formicidae.